Molecule: ribosomal RNA, 501 nt
Filed under: uncultured bacterium
Lineage: Bacteria
Description: partial 16S ribosomal RNA
Rfam family: Bacterial small subunit ribosomal RNA
Source: RNAcentral
AUUGAACGCUGGCGGCAUGCCCUACACAUGCAAGUCGAACGGCAGCACGGGUGCUUGCACCUGGUGGCGAGUGGCGAACGGGUGAGUAAUACAUCGGAACGUACCUUAUCGUGGGGGAUAACGCAGCGAAAGCUGUGCUAAUACCGCAUACGCCCUGAGGGGGAAAGCGGGGGAUCGCAAGACCUCGCGCGAUUAGAGCGGCCGAUGCCCGAUUAGCUUGUUGGUGGGGUAAAAGCCCACCAAGGCGACGAUCAGUAGCUGGUCUGAGAGGACGAUCAGCCACACUGGGACUGAGACACGGCCCAGACUCCUACGGGAGGCAGCAGUGGGGAAUUUUGGACAAUGGGGGCAACCCUGAUCCAGCAAUGCCGCGUGAGUGAAGAAGGCCUUCGGGUUGUAAAGCUCUUUUGUCAGGGAAGAAACUCCGGCUCUAACACAGUCCGGGAAUGACGGUACCUGAAGAAUAAGCACCGGCUAACUACGUGCCAGCCGCCGCAGUAA